Molecule: ribosomal RNA, 364 nt
Filed under: Cletus sp. CMF 0765
Lineage: Eukaryota; Metazoa; Arthropoda; Insecta; Hemiptera; Coreidae
Description: SSU rRNA
Rfam family: Eukaryotic small subunit ribosomal RNA
Source: RNAcentral
CUUGUUCGCCGGCUCAAUCCUACCGCGGUGCUCUUUACCGAGUGUCGAGGUAGGCCGACACUGUUUACUUUGAACAAAUUAGAGUGCUUAAAGCAGGCUCUUAAAUCAGCCUGAAUAGUGGUGCAUGGAAUAAUGGAAAAGGACCUUGGUUCUAUUUUGUUGGUUUACGGAAUCCAAGGUAAUGAUCAAUAAGGACAGGCGGGGGCAUUCGUAUUGCGGCGUUAGAGGUGAAAUUCUUGGAUCGUCGCAAGACGCACUAGAGCGAAAGCAUUUGCCAAGUAUGUCUUAAUUGAUCAAGAACGAAAGUUAGAGGCUCGAAGGCGAUCAGAUACCGCCCUAGUUCUAACCAUAAACGAUGCCAGCC